CCUACGGGUGGCAGCAGUGAGGAAUAUUGGUCAAUGGACGAGAGUCUGAACCAGCCAAGUAGCGUGAAGGAUGACUGCCCUAUGGGUUGUAAACUUCUUUUAUAUGGGAAUAAAAUGUUCCACGUGUGGGAUUUUGUAUGUACCAUAUGAAUAAGGAUCGGCUAACUCCGUGCCAGCAGCCGCGGUAAUACGGAGGAUCCGAGCGUUAUCCGGAUUUAUUGGGUUUAAAGGGAGCGUAGGUGGAUUGUUAAGUUAGUUGUGAAAGUUUGCGGCUCAACCGUAAAAUUGCAGUUGAAACUGGCAGUCUUGAGUACAGUAGAGGUGGGCGGAAUUCGUGGUGUAGCGGUGAAAUGCUUAGAUAACACGAAGAACUCCGAUUGCGAAGGCAGUUCACUGGACUGCAACUGACACUGAGGCUCGAAAGUGUGGGUAUCAAACAGGAUUAGAUACCCUUGUAGUC
RNAcentral lists this ribosomal RNA (460 nucleotides) under uncultured bacterium. RNAcentral describes it as "partial 16S ribosomal RNA". It matches the Rfam family "Bacterial small subunit ribosomal RNA", at positions 338 to 795 of the family's 1533-position model. The record is from RNAcentral.